AUUCUCCAAUUUCUUUUAAAGACUGUGAAUCAUUCACCGCUUUCUUCCAUUUCGUUUAAAGGCGGUGAAUCGUUCGCCGCAUUCAUUAAAAUUGUGCGUGGAUUAUAUAGGAAAUAAAAAAGUGAGGUUGUUAGGAUUAUUUGUGGAUUAUUAAAAUUUUUAUUUCAUUGUUAGGAUUGUAUGGAUAGAUUAUUAGAAUUUUCAGGUUGUUAAGAUUAUAUGAAAUUGUAUGGAUAGACUGUUAGGAUUUUCAGGCUGUUAAAAUUAUAUGAAAUUGUAUGGAUAGACUAUUAGAAUUUUCAAGCUGUUAAGAUUAUAUGAAAUUGAAUAGACUAUUAGAAUUUUCAGGCAAUUAAGAUUAUAUACGAUUUGUUAAAAUUUUUAUGCGGUUGUUGGAAUUAUAUAUGGGAUAUAGAAAGAAAUAGUAAAAUGUAACAUAUCGGAUUUUGAUAUAAAAGUAAAAAAUAAAUAAAAAUAGUAUGAGAUACUAUUUUUAUUGGAUUUAGAGAAGUAAAAUAUAAGUUAGAAAUAACUUGUGCUGAAAUCGGAACAAAAACAGAAGAUUUAGAAUUUUCUGUGAGAGACGGGGCUUAUAUUUUAGCAGAAAAUGCACAGUGUCAGAAAAUCACGAAAACUGAAGAAUACGUCAGAAAUAUUUUUAUGAGGCUAGAUU
RNAcentral lists this long non-coding RNA (673 nucleotides) under Ananas comosus (pineapple). Its description in RNAcentral is "long non-coding RNA (ACOM_LNC043580)". The record is from RNAcentral. Lineage: Eukaryota; Viridiplantae; Streptophyta; Magnoliopsida; Poales; Bromeliaceae.